Molecule: ribosomal RNA, 252 nt
Filed under: uncultured bacterium
Lineage: Bacteria
Description: partial 16S ribosomal RNA
Rfam family: Bacterial small subunit ribosomal RNA
Source: RNAcentral
UACGGGGUGGCAAGCGUUGUUCGGAAUUACUGGGCGUAAAGGGCUCGUAGGCGGCCAACUAAGUCGGACGUGAAAUCCCUCGGCUUAACCGGGGAACUGCAUCCGAUACUGGAGGGCUUGAGUUUGGGAGAGGGAUGCGGAAUUCCAGGUGUAGCGGUGAAAUGCGUAGAUAUCUGGAGGAACACCGGUGGCGAAGGCGGCAUCCUGGACCAACACUGACGCUGAGGAGCGAAAGCCAGGGGAGCAAACGGG